GAAGACAUGGUUAUCAUGAAAGGUUAUGUGAUGAUGAAUCCCUUGGAAAAGGAUGAAUUUCCAAUCAAAAUGAUUUUGUGUGAUUUAUUUCAGCAGAGAUUUACUAACAUUGGUCCAGACGAUUUUGGAUACUUAAAACGUGAACGUAACAAAUUGUCCCUGCCGAAAACAGGAGAUGGCUUUGUUUGGAAUUUCGAAAAUUUGAAAGUAUUGGCAGGCCAGGGUAAACUUUACUGCUACAUCAAAGAGUCUUACAAAAAGUUGGUUGAUCAACCUUCACCUGUGGAUGUUAAUGAUGAAGAAAUUACAAGAAGUUGUGAUGAUUCUCCAUCAUUUCCAGCUUCAAGUAUAGUGAAUAAGAAACAUAAAAGUUCUACAGUUGUUAGUGAUGAUGAGCUACCAUCAGGCUCAGGUGAACUGGAGAGUUAUAAAAGUUUGCUGAAUGAGGUUUUAGAAGCUUCUCCGAAAAAAAGACUUUAUAAUGACUUGGAGAGCAUUUUGCAUGAUUUAAAGAAAAAGAUAUCAACAUCAGAAGUCGAAAAACUUAAAGUUGAUCCAGAUGAUUGCUUAUCUGAUGCACUCAGUUUCUAUAAAAGUUCGGAUUUCAAUCCAAAUCAUAAAUUACAAGUCCGAUAUGCGAAACAACCGGCUGCAGACACUGGAGGUGUCUUGAGACAAUUUUAUUCUGAUUGCACUCAGCAACUGUUAGAAGGUGCAGAUGGAAUUCCUCCAUUAUUUGAAGGAGAGGAGAAUCGAAAGCUGCCUUGCUUCAAUGCCGGUGUGGUUAUGUCUGGAAUGAUCAAAUUUGUUGGAAGAAUGUUUGCUUAUUCAAUAUGUCAAGUUGGAAUUGGAUUCAGUUGUCUGGCUCCAUCUGUAUACUGGUAUAUUUGUACAGAUCAUGGAUAAGAAUUUUGACGUGAAAACGUUUAAUCAAGACACGGAUUUCGUAAACCUGCUUUCUGAUUGUGGAUCAACACAACUUAUUAGUGAUGAAAACAGACAUGAUAUUUACACUGCAAUUCUCUUUCAAGAGGUAAUUGGAAAACGUACAGCUGCAAUGGAACAAUUGAGAGAAGGCUUGAAAACCCUUGAUGUUAUAGAUUGUUUGUCCAACAAUCCUAUGUUGUGUAU
Molecule: RNA transcript, 1131 nt
Organism: Hydractinia symbiolongicarpus
Lineage: Eukaryota; Metazoa; Cnidaria; Hydrozoa; Anthoathecata; Hydractiniidae
Exons: 4
Source: RefSeq, a predicted model, not a curated record